GCCUGGGUGGCUCAGUUGGUUGAGCAUCUGACUCUUGUUUCAGCUCAGGCCUUGAUCGCAGGGUCAUGGGAUCGAGUCCCAUGUCAGGCU
This 90-nucleotide transfer RNA is filed under the name Felis catus (domestic cat). It matches the Rfam family "tRNA". Rfam says of the family: Transfer RNA (tRNA) molecules are approximately 80 nucleotides in length. Their secondary structure includes four short double-helical elements and three loops (D, anti-codon, and T loops). The record is from Rfam by way of RNAcentral. Lineage: Eukaryota; Metazoa; Chordata; Mammalia; Carnivora; Felidae.